CCUACGGGAGACAGCAGUGGGGAAUAUUGGACAAUGGGGGAAACCCUGAUCCAGCGACGCCGCGUGAGUGAAGAAGUAUUUCGGUACGUAAAGCUCUAUCAGCAGGAAAGAAAAUGACGGUACCUGACUAAGAAGCCCCGGCUAACUACGUGCCAGCAGCCGCGGUAAUACGUAGGGGGCAAGCGUUAUCCGGAUUUACUGGGUGGAAAGGGAGCGUAGACGGCAGCGCAAGUCUGGAGUGAAAUGCCGGGGCCCAACCCCGGAACUGCUCUGGAAACUGUGAAGCUGGAGUGCAGGAGAGGUAAGCGGAAGUCCUGGUGUAGCGGUGAAAUGCGUAGAUAUCAGGAGGAACACCGGCGGCGAAGGCGGCUUACUGGACUGUAACUGACGUUGAGGCUCGAAGGCGUGGGGAGCAAACAGGAUUAGAUACCCGAGUAGUC
This 440-nucleotide ribosomal RNA is filed under the name uncultured bacterium. RNAcentral's name for it is "partial 16S ribosomal RNA". It matches the Rfam family "Bacterial small subunit ribosomal RNA", at positions 338 to 795 of the family's 1533-position model. The record is from RNAcentral.